GACGAACGCUGGCGGCGUGCUUAACACAUGCCAGUCGAACGCUGAAGCUUGGUGCUUGCACUGUGUGGAUGAGUGGCGAACGGGUGAGUAAUACGUGAGUAACCUGCCCUUGACUCUGGGAUAAGCCUGGGAAACUGGGUCCAAUACUGGAUACGACAUGUCACCGCAUGGUGGUGUGUGGAAAGGGUUUUACUGGUUUUGGAUGGACUCACGGCCUAUCAGCUUGUUGGUGGGGUAAUGGCUCACCAAGGCGACGACGGGUAGCCGGCCUGAGAGGGUGACCGGCCACACUGGGACUGAGACAAGGCACAGACUCCUACGGGAGGCAGCAGUGGGGAAUAUUGCACAAUGGGCGGAAGCGUGAUGCAGCGACGCCGCGUGAGGGAUGACGGCCUUCGGGUUGUAAACCUCUUUCAGCACGGAAGAAGCGAAAGUGACGGUACGUGCAGAAGAAGCGCCGGCUAACUACGUG
This 472-nucleotide ribosomal RNA is filed under the name uncultured bacterium. RNAcentral's name for it is "partial 16S ribosomal RNA". It matches the Rfam family "Bacterial small subunit ribosomal RNA", at positions 28 to 507 of the family's 1533-position model. The record is from RNAcentral.